RNAcentral lists this ribosomal RNA (253 nucleotides) under uncultured bacterium. Its description in RNAcentral is "partial 16S ribosomal RNA". It matches the Rfam family "Bacterial small subunit ribosomal RNA", at positions 524 to 776 of the family's 1533-position model. The record is from RNAcentral.
UACGAAGGUCCCAAGCGUUGUUCGGAAUCACUGGGCGUAAAGCGUGCGUAGGCGGCUAAGUAAGUCAGGCGUGCAAGCCCGUGGCUCAACCACGGAAUUGCGUUUGAAACUGCUUAGCUUGAGUACAGGAGAGGAAAGCGGAAUUCCCAGUGUAGCGGUGAAAUGCAUUGAUAUUGGGAAGAACAUCUGUGGCGAAGGCGGCUUUCUGGUCUGUUACUGACGCUGAGAUACGAAAGCCAGGGUAGCGAACGGG